AUGAGUAGCUACAACCCAACAAUUAUUUCAUGGAAUGUUAGAGGUCUAAACGCGCCCGCAAGACGCACGACUGUUAACGAGGUGGUUUCGGCCAACAAGCUAGGCAUUCUCUGUCUGCAGGAAACAAAAAUUGAACAAUGGUCUCUGGAACUGGUCAGAGAGAUUGGUGGAUCGACUCUGGAAGGUUGCGCGGUUCUGCCUAUAGUAGGAUCAAGAGGAGGAGUGGCCAUCUUAUGGGACUAGUCGGCCCUGGAAAUCCAAACCCAUGCUGUUGGCCAAUUUUCACUAACAGCAAAAGUCUCAUCGCGACUCUCAACGGGCUGGUACUGGCUCACCAAUGUAUACGGCCAGGUGGAUGACGCUCUGAAAGAUGAUUUCUUUUAGGAGUUGGUUGUCACUGCUCCUCCGGCUGGUCAACCAUGGCUCAUAUGCGGAGAUUUCAACCUCAUCUAUGAAGCUAGGGACAAAAGCAACAGCAGAAUUAACAGGCAUGUGAUGGGGAAGUUUCGGAAAACAAUCGAUUUUGCUGGCCUUAGGGAAAUCAAAUGCAAGAACAGAAAGUUUACUUGGUCCAAUGAGCAUGUCCGGCCCACAAUGUGCAGUAUCGACAAGUUCUUCUGUAACAUGGAUUGGGAGAUGGAUCAUCAGGAGUAUCUGUUGAUGGCUGCCUCAACCUCCAUCUCACACCAUUGUCCUUUUGUUCUAGCCUGUGCCGCCGCCCCUCCGAGGAAAGCAAAGUUCAGAUAUGAGCAUUUCUGGCCAAAUUCCCAAGGUUUCAAGAAACAGUUCAGAGAGCCUGGCAAAGGCCAGCAAAACCACAGUUGCCCCUACGUGCGUAUCAAGAUCAAAAUGCAGCGUGUGGCAGCGGAUCUCAAGGUGUGGAGCAAGACCCUCUUCAGUGGUGCACGUCUGAAACUGCAUAUUGCUUCGGAGGUGAUUCUUCGGCUGGAUGAGGCCCAAGAAAGAAGACAACUCACCCCUCAGGAAUUCAGUCUUCGCAAGCUGUUAAGUAGAGAAUCCUUGGCUUCGCGGCUAUUGAGCGGGCAAGGAAGCGUCAAGCCUCUCGCAUAA
RNAcentral lists this ribosomal RNA (1071 nucleotides) under Triticum aestivum (bread wheat). RNAcentral's name for it is "partial small subunit ribosomal RNA". Lineage: Eukaryota; Viridiplantae; Streptophyta; Magnoliopsida; Poales; Poaceae. The record is from RNAcentral.